This 484-nucleotide ribosomal RNA is filed under the name uncultured bacterium. RNAcentral's name for it is "partial 16S ribosomal RNA". It matches the Rfam family "Bacterial small subunit ribosomal RNA", at positions 30 to 507 of the family's 1533-position model. The record is from RNAcentral.
AUUGAACGCUGGCGGCAGGCCUAACACAUGCAAGUCGAGCGGAUGAAGGGAGCUUGCUCCUGGAUUCAGCGGCGGACGGGUGAGUAAUGCCUAGGAAUCUGCCUGGUAGUGGGGGAUAACGCCCGGAAACGGGCGCUAAUACCGCAUACGUCCUGAGGGAGAAAGUGGGGGAUCUUCGGACCUCGCGCUAUCAGAUGAGCCUAGGUCGGAUUAGCUAGUUGGUGGGGUAAAGGCCUACCAAGGCGACGAUCCGUAACUGGUCUGAGAGGAUGAUCAGUCACACUGGAACUGAGACACGGUCCAGACUCCUACGGGAGGCAGCAGUGGGGAAUAUUGGACAAUGGGCGAAAGCCUGAUCCAGCCAUGCCGCGUGUGUGAAGAAGGUCUUCGGAUUGUAAAGCACUUUAAGUUGGGAGGAAGGGCAGUAAGUUAAUACCUUGCUGUUUUGACGUUACCAACAGAAUAAGCACCGGCUAACUUCGUG